Molecule: long non-coding RNA, 702 nt
Organism: Capsicum annuum
Lineage: Eukaryota; Viridiplantae; Streptophyta; Magnoliopsida; Solanales; Solanaceae
Exons: 3
Source: RefSeq, a predicted model, not a curated record
AGCCCAAAUAAGAUAUUGAAAAUAAACAAAAAUUUCCCAUUUCGAAAAGGAUCCAAAUAUGUGACUCAGCCUUUUUUGUUCAUUACAUAUACCCUAAAAAAUAGGGUUUGUGUUUCCUACAAUCAAUCUACCAUAUCUACCAUAACCUGAAGAAAUAUUGUCUUAUCCGAUGGUGAAUCUGACCUUCCUCUUGAAGUUGUUGGGGAUUAUCAAAUCUGUGCCAUAGAUUUGUUGUGAAACAGCUCGCAUUUCAGCUAUCAAAAUGUUUUUGGUGCUUCAUUGAUGGGUUUGGACUCCUGAGAGUACAUCAACAUACAACUGCUACUGGAAAGGAGAUAACAAGAUGCUCAAAACCACAAUGAGAUGAAAUGUGUGUAUCUCUGCAGGUGUAUCAUUAGUAGAUUUAGUAAAAACCCUCUCUUACACUAUGAGUCCCUUUUGUUGGUUGUAGUAGAAUAGGAUAUAAAGCUUUGUACAACUUUAAUGAUUAUAAUUUUGAUAUUUGAUUUUUUUCUCAAGUUAAGCUUUAGCUUGGUAAGUCCUAUCACCCUCUCAAUGGUGGAAACUUUUAUGGACAUAACAUCUUAACACGAUUUAGAAUUCUUUUGCCUUUACUUUCUAGCUGUAUAAAACUUGUAAAAAAGAAUUGUUGUUUAUCUAUUGCCUAGUUUGCAAGGUUAUAUACCAACUGAUUGCCUUCUC